RNAcentral lists this ribosomal RNA (164 nucleotides) under uncultured bacterium. Its description in RNAcentral is "partial 16S rRNA". It matches the Rfam family "Bacterial small subunit ribosomal RNA", at positions 355 to 511 of the family's 1533-position model. The record is from RNAcentral.
UAGGGAAUCUCCCACAAUAGACGCAAGUCUGAUGGAGCAACGCCGCGUGAGUGAAGAAGGUCUUCGGAUCGUAAAACUCUGUUGUUAGAGAAGAACACGAGUGAGAGUAACUGUUCAUUCGAUGACGGUAUCUAACCAGCAAGUCACGGCUAACUACGUGCCAG